GUCACUAUGCUUCAAAAGUCGCCCUCUCACGGCGAAAACAGGGGUUCGAUUCCCCUUGGGAGCGCCA
Molecule: transfer RNA, 67 nt
Filed under: Methylobacterium brachythecii
Lineage: Bacteria; Pseudomonadati; Pseudomonadota; Alphaproteobacteria; Hyphomicrobiales; Methylobacteriaceae
Description: tRNA-Glu
Rfam family: tRNA (bases 9-64)
About the family: Transfer RNA (tRNA) molecules are approximately 80 nucleotides in length. Their secondary structure includes four short double-helical elements and three loops (D, anti-codon, and T loops).
Source: RNAcentral